This 690-nucleotide long non-coding RNA is filed under the name Mus caroli (Ryukyu mouse). Its description in RNAcentral is "lncRNA (MGP_CAROLIEiJ_G0002783.1)". Lineage: Eukaryota; Metazoa; Chordata; Mammalia; Rodentia; Muridae. The record is from RNAcentral.
GGUUCCCCGGCGCCAUUUUGUCCCGGCAGCAGCAGCCCGCAGCUCUAUCCCAUUUUCUGUGAGGGAAGGACGCGGACUCUCUCCGAGUUGUGCUGAAGACAACAGACACCUCCAUGACAACCCAAAGUAUCACAGAGGAAAUGAACAGCUGUGGACUCAUUCAAAGUUAAUUAAGAUUAGGUUUGACCAUGGAAGACUUCUAGAGACUCUUGGCUGAUGAUGUGGAAAAAGAGACCCAGAAGAACAAAAAAACAGAGGCUCUGCUAAAGCCUUGCUGUAUAGUACAAGAGAGUACCUUAGUCACAAGGAUGAAAGGAUGGCUUUCUGAAGAGGAACGAGUACCACCAAUCACAAAGGAUGACAGGUGCCAAAGGGUUGGCUUCCAACAGGAACUUCAAAGACUAUUUCAGCAACAGACCCUGGAUUGUGCCACACUCAAACUAUUUUAAGGAAUUACUUUCACUUUCCAAUGUAAUAUAGUUCUUAACUGACUUACAAAAGGAGACUGCUUCAUAACAGAAGGUAAAUGAAGAGAGAUGAGUCUUGCUAAGAAUGAAAAUCUACAAAAUCCCUUUGUGAGAGAUUAUAGGCACCAUCUUUUAUUAUGAUAGAACCCAGAUUUUUUUUCCUUGUUUGUAUUAUCAAAUGCAAAACCUGCAAGAUACUAUUGCAUAAAGGACCAUAUUCAGC